This is a long non-coding RNA of Gopherus evgoodei (Goodes thornscrub tortoise), 1350 nucleotides long. RefSeq lists it as uncharacterized. The transcript has 3 exons. The record is from RefSeq and is a predicted model, not a curated record. Lineage: Eukaryota; Metazoa; Chordata; Testudines; Testudinidae.
UCUGCUCCUCUGCUAGGUUUGCAGGGGGGGCCAGUGGCAACAAGAUAACUAUGCUGAAGGCCGCUGCUUCUUCCUUUUCUCUUUGUGGGCAAAUCUGCCUACUACCUCUUCAGGUUCAUCUUACUACUGCUGUUGCUGGUAAAGACUCUUUUGAAAAACUUCGGGAAGAGUAUAUAUUUAAGCUCUCCCUGAACACUGCAUGACAGUGAUGCACCUGGCUAUCAAUAAAACAGUAAAAGUGACCAAUGCAGAAAGUGGUGUGCAGGCUGGCAGACUGGGGAUUGAACUGAGGACCUCCAAAACAUGAAUCUCUACAGAUCAAGCUAAAGAGCCCAGCUCGCAUAGGGAGAGCUGCAACAGACUCAUAUCCUCAGUAGAUCGGGCACAGAAGGGAAAGGGAUGGACUCAUAACAGCAGAGACAAUAUUUUCAGAAGGAAAUGUCAUUUUCAAGUUGGCAAUGCCCCUUUAAAUCUAGGAUGGACAGAGGAGUCCAACUUUCCAGCUAAAUAUCCAGAAUGUAAAUUGUUAAAAGAAAGUCUCCACACCACACGUUUGAGCUCAAGAUGUUAGACCUGAUGGGGUUGGAGAUUUUUCCAAAUGACAUGGUCUAAUUUUCUACUGCUCUGAACAACAAUGGAAUAUUCAUGUUACUAAAAUUCCACUGUAGCUAAAUCACUUAUAUUAAGAAUUAAAACACCAGCUAUUAACUGCAAAAUCUGGGGAGAGUUCUGGAUUAUAAAAUAUUCCAUUAUGAAGACAACGAAACAAGUUUUCCACAUAAAACAGUUCUUUGCAGACAGGGAGUGUUUUAUCAACAUAGUGCAUCUGUGCAGGAAUUAACAAUAAUUUGGCUGCUCGUGCUGCUGGUCUAGAGGGCAAAGGGUACUGUGUAGCAGGAGUAUGUCUGGCUGCAGAACAGUAACGGUGGCAGUACAAAAUACACCAGAAGAACAGGGAUAAAUAUUACCAAUACUUUUCAGACUUCCCAUUGUAUCACAGAAGCAUUAUGCCUUCUCCAACAAGUUAAUGGACAUUCCUCCUCCCCACUACCAAACACAGUCCUGGUUGAUGGACCCAACAUGCAAGCCACUUAAUAGAGAUAUAAAGUACUCUGACAUAUGUAAAAUAAGGACAACAACAGAAAAUACCGAAAGUUACUUAAUGACACGAUAAAAUUACCUCCUGAAUCCUAAUAUUCUGCAGAAGGAAUUAAAAUAGUGUAUUAAAAUAUUUGUGCAUACUAGUUAUGAAUGUGCAGAGAAUGGAUCACACAUGUAAAAGUAUAUUCAAUGUGAUAAGCACUGUCUUAUGGGGAGAAUGUUAAAAUAGGAUUCUGUUUAGUGCAAAUA